RNAcentral lists this ribosomal RNA (269 nucleotides) under uncultured bacterium. RNAcentral describes it as "partial 16S ribosomal RNA". It matches the Rfam family "Bacterial small subunit ribosomal RNA", at positions 793 to 1055 of the family's 1533-position model. The record is from RNAcentral.
GUCCACGCCCUAAACGAUGGGCACUAGGUGUGGGAGGUAUCGACCCCUCCCGUGCCGUAGCUAACGCAUUAAGUGCCCCGCCUGGGGAGUACGGUCGCAAGGCUAAAACUCAAAGGAAUUGACGGGGCCCGCACAAGCGGUGGAGCAUGUGGUUUAAUUCGACGCAACGCGAAGAACCUUACCUGGGCUUGACAUCCCCUGGAACCCCCUAUGAAAGUAGGGGGUGCCUUGAAAGAGGAGCCAGGAGACAGGUGCUGCAUGGCUGUCGU